GGGCGAAUGGUUUAGUGGUAUAAUACUCCCUUAGCAUGGCGCGAUCUGAGGAUGUUUAAAAUCUUCUAGGAUUGGCAGUGCAAAAUCUGGGAGUGGUCCAGGGUUCGAUUCCCUGUUCGUCCA
RNAcentral lists this transfer RNA (123 nucleotides) under Claviceps sp. Clav32 group G5. RNAcentral's name for it is "tRNA-Ala". It matches the Rfam family "tRNA". Rfam says of the family: Transfer RNA (tRNA) molecules are approximately 80 nucleotides in length. Their secondary structure includes four short double-helical elements and three loops (D, anti-codon, and T loops). Lineage: Eukaryota; Fungi; Ascomycota; Sordariomycetes; Hypocreales; Clavicipitaceae. The record is from RNAcentral.